CCCUUAGAUGUUCUGGGCUGCACGCGCGCUACACUGAUACCUUCAGCGAGUCCAGCACCUUGCCUGGGAAGGUGGGGUAACCUCUGGAAAGUGUAUCGUGAUGGGGAUAGAUUAUUGUAAUUAUUAAUCUUCAACGAGGAAUUCCUAGUAAGCAUGUGUCAUCAGCCCGUGCUGAUUACGUCCCUGCCCUUUGUACACACCGCCCGUCGCUCCUACCGAUUGGGUGUGCUGGUGAAAUGUUCGGAUCGGCCGUUUGUCGCGGUUUCCGCGUCAUGUGGCUGAGAAGUUCAUUAAACCCUCCCACCUAGAGGAAGGAGAAGUCGUAACA
RNAcentral lists this ribosomal RNA (328 nucleotides) under uncultured eukaryote. RNAcentral describes it as "partial 18S ribosomal RNA". It matches the Rfam family "Eukaryotic small subunit ribosomal RNA", at positions 1470 to 1796 of the family's 1831-position model. The record is from RNAcentral.